AGAGCUGGGCCUCCGCCGGGGCCGGCCCUCCCACGGCGCUAGCCCUGCGGCUCCGGGGGCCCUGAGCCUGGUGGUGGUCCUCGCGGCCCUCGGGAUCCCCAGGCUGCUAGGGGGCGCCGGCCCGGGAGAGGGUCCCGGGGAACCGUCUCUAAAGAGGACAGUGAAUACAUCAAUUAGGAAAGUCUCGUCCUGUGGGCUCCUCGUGCCACCCCCACCCUCCAGGGCGACUGCGAGCACCCAGAGGGGAGGAGGUGGGCUGCAGCCGCAGACGGUAGAGCUGGGCCGGGUUCAGACCCCGCGUUCCCCCCAGGGCUUGGGUGACCUCUCUGAGGCGUGGUUUCUACCUACGAGAUGAUGGAAACAUUCCUCCGGGAGAUUAACAACGUAUGGGGAUCACACGAGAAAAAUGUUCCCCAAGACGCACCCUGCAGGGCCGGCCGCGUGCAAGUGCCCAGCGGAGCGGUUCCCUUUGAGCCCGAGGAUACAUCUAGCCAACGACGCCUCCCAGGGCCUCACACCCGGAGGCUCAGAGCCUGCUCACUGAGUUAGCAGUAGGGACUCCAGGGGCAGCCUGGCUGCAACCAAGGCUCUGACUCUUUAUGGAAGGAAAUGCAUCUUUGAUUCAAGAAACCCACGUGUGAUCAGGACUUCCGAAUCUCUCCACCCAUAGAGAGGCACCGCCAGUGUGCUCUGUGUCCCAGUCCCCGUGGGGCUGGGAGGCGCCCUCUCCACCAUCCUGGCACUUAGCACAAGUGCCCAUCCUUCCCAGUCUGUGUGCCCAGAGCCUGCAGGCCGUAGAUUCUGCACGAGUACUUGCUGAGUAACUGAGAGGGAGGACGAGGCAGCACGCGGGCUUGUCGGGGCCGGACUGAGAUACACAGCCUUUCCCAGACUCCAGCAUGCUGUUGUUUUAGAAAAGAACUGGCCUGGGUUGAAUUUCGGUGCCAUGAAUCCUCCUCACCCGUGGUUAUCAGACUCAACGUAGCGGCCAUUCCCUCUAGGAGGUCUCUCUGAUCUGCCCCCUCUCUGUGUGUCCACAGGGUCCUGUAAAUGCCACCCUAGCACGUGGCACACUGCUCCGGGUGCCGUCCUCAUGGAGCACCUCAGCUUCACUGGGUGAGCGGGUGCUGCAUCCCACGUGCAGAGGGGUGGGCAGCUCGGACGCUGGGCCAGGCCUUCCGCGAGACAGAGAGGGGCUGGCUCUGACCCCACAGGGGGAGGUCCGUGACGCACUCAGAUUCCCGAGAGUCUCCUGCACCUUCCUGUCUUCGUCCCUUAUCCGGCCCGGGUCUGUUCCCAGCUGGCUCUGACCCCAUGCUGAACGGACACCGGGAGAAGUCAGCAGUACCCUGAGCAUCUGCUCUCGGAACUGGGAGCGGGCGGAUGAGGCGCCAGGUCAAAUUCGCACACCCCUCCCCCGCUCCACAGCCUAUAGGGCUCCCCUUUGAAGGGACAGUGCCUUCAAGGGAAGGUUCUAGAAGCUCUCUUCCAAACAGACCCUCGGCUCCAUCAGGACCAGUCUCUGCCGACACUCCGCCCAUUCCUGACCUUACACCUCAGCUCACACGGACGGGUCGCGGGGCCCUCCCCAGGUCCAGAGGUCUCCAGCCCCAGUGCGCAUUCUCAAGUCCGUGCGCCUGCGUCUCCGGCCGGGCCGUGAGCCACCAGAGGCCAGCGCUUUCUCUUAGGCAGUGCCCCUCAGUCCUCCCCCAGUGCUUGACGCGGAAUGGGUGCCGUUUGACGAAAAUGUGAGAUGGACUGUCCUCUCCCACGCGAUCCCUGUCCAUUCAUAUUCGACUUAAUUAUUUAAAUACCAUCAGAAAAGUGCACCCAAGCAAGAAGACCUCACAGCCUGCACGUGUAGUUCUCGAACUGGUUCUCUCUCUACUUAGCAAAGGACUGAGAAGCCGGCAGCGAGCUCAGUGUUUCUCUUGGAGCUUCACGUUUGAACCACAAGCUCAGAGGGGCUUGCGCUGACCUAACACACGUGUCUUAUUAAAUUGAUUCCUGUUGGAGGGGCUGUUCCACUGCAGAUUCAAGUCAUCACGCUGAGCUCCUGCUCUGGUGAGAGAGGUACGGAGAGUCACCUGGGUGGUCCCUGGGAAGGUAACGCCCCCUGAAAGAUGCUCUCUGGAGGAUGGCCGUGGACUUCUGUUGUUGAGGGCCAAGCCCCGGGAGCCGUAGCCCCAGGAACCUGGCGAGGAGCCCCCUCUCCCGAGCUUAGAAAACCCGAGUGCUGGGAUCCUCCUCAUCAGAGUUCCGCAGACCUGGGCGGGAUCCGACCAGCAGCAGAGAACCAGUCCGGGUCUCCGCUCCCCACUGGGCGGAACCAGUUGUGGACAGCGCCACCGUGUGGCGGUGAGAAGCAAUGGCAGUAGCUUAUUGCAUAAAUUCCUGGUCUGAUGGAGUGAGUCUCCAGGUCUUUUAGAAAAUUCAGGGUAAGGGAGGACCCCCAACAAAGAGCCAUGGGGCUUUCUGUUAACAUCUACUACUUUUCUCCCAGAGAGGGUGGAUUAAUUCACGUCACUUAAACUUUCGUUACAUACAGAUACAUAAAAGAUGCAUAAUUAAAUGUGUUCUGUUACUUGUUUUGAACAACCAAAAACAGCAGGUUGUAUCAGCCUUAAGCAACUUACUAGCUGAAAGUGUGGUUCUGAAAUUGUGAAUUGUGCUUGAGGGCGUCCCCCACCCAAGCGAGCCCGGCGGGGACUACCGAAGGAAGGAGCUGGACCAACACGUGGGUUGGUUUCAGCAGCCACAGAACAGCAACUGUGGGCAACAUGCUUCGCCUUUAUAAGGGGCCUGGUUCCUCGCCUACCCGGCGCUCCUUGCCCUCUGCACCCCCCACCCCUGCUGCUUCCUCAGCUCUGUCCCCUCUGGUUUACUUUCACCGGGAAUGGAACAGGCACACGUGGUGGAAGGUCCCCGAAGCUCACUGCACGAUGCAGUGACACCAGCCUCCCUUUGUGACCACGACGUGUGCACAGCCACACCCCACACAGUCAGAUACUGCCCAAGGAACUUCAUGACCUCCAAUCCGACUUGCAACAGAGAGGGUAAGAACGUUGCCAGCCCGGCCCUGGGCUUCCUUCCUAAAGCCCUGCUGCUUCUGAUUCUGUAUCAUGUAGGAUUUGCUCCCCCUCCCACCCCGCCCAAUUGUUAGCUCCUUGUCACUGUCACAGACAGCCUGAGGGUCCAACUGCCCACACCCCCACCCCCAGCCCCAGUGCACAGCAUUAUAACUCCUGGACGCAGUAGGCGGACCCCAGGCCCUCCCCCUCCUAGGUGUCCAGUGUCACCCAACCUCGUCUCCCCCGUUCCCCGGCCCCACACUCUCCGUGGCCCAGGCAGCCAAAGAGCCCUCUGCUCGCCCUUCCUGACACCGCCUCCCCACCCAGGCUGUAAACUGCAAGAGCAAGAACUCCUAUAUCAUGCUUCGUCUUUGAAACACACGGUACCUGCUCCAUAAACGAUUGCUGAUUGACACCAUGUAUUCCGGGGAGGGCUGAGCCAUCUUUAUCAGGCAAAGGGGCUCGUGAACGUUGAGUAGGCUGGACCGUUUACGGAGCAGACAGCAUCAUUCUACCUCUCUAGCUUCCCUCACUGUCUUCAGCAAGACUAGGGCCAGAGCUGGGGGAGUCUGAGGUCAAAAACUGUCUGAAUGUGUCACUUCAAACCCAGAACGUGGCUCAGAAGUGGCUUUGGGAGAAGUGGGCUCAUGAUCCCCUGCUUCUCCUUCCACUCAGAGAGCCCACCAGCCUACAUCACAGAGACGGGACUUGUUGGCACCUUCAUGAAGACUUCUUUUCAGAGCCUGCCCUACCCCUGCCACCCCAAACCGGGAGAAUUUGUAAGGAAACGGACCACAGGACGGCAGAACACGUGGGCGUCAGCCAUCCCCUGCCUCCAGGAAAGGUGGCCACUGUAUUCUUUCCCCAAAGGGCCCCCUGGCCAAAUGCUUUGAGAAAUGCAGCCCCUUUCUUCCUUCCCUGGAGAGCCCAGGGUGCGCUCGCUUCCGCGGGAAAGCCCUGCGGGAAGGAAGCUGCUUGCGUGUAACCCAGAAGCCCCCAGGUGGACCUCAGAGCACUUUUUGUUGGUCUCAAGCCUACUGACAUCAAGUAGAAUACACUGCAGGGAAUGCGCUUUAAAGUCUGCAGGACAAGCAAGUGCUGCUGCUUUUUCCAAUGAGAAAGGUCACAGUCCCCCUCGGGAGUCUACCUUGUGGCCUGUAACUGUUUCUAGGAGGAUGACCUGACCAGUCCCGCCGUAUGCGUGUCCAGCGCCCCCACGUAAACUCAUCAGUCAUUUCGAAUCUCCGUGAUGCCGCCCCGGAUCUGACCCAGGAGAAGGGGCAGUCGGGCCUGGCAACCACGGGCCCACAGAGUGCCCAUGGGGGCUGGAGACCGAUGCCUCCUCCUCCAGGCAGCUACAGGGCUUGGGCCGCUGGGUUGGGCCUCCCCACCCCGCUGGCCUCGCCACGAGGGAGGCAUUGCUAUUCGUGGGCCUCUGCCCGGAGCCCGCCUAGACCCUCUCACUGCCCUCAGUGCUGCCCCCAGGCCACUUCCAGAGAGAGGAGCCUGGAGAGCUUCAACCCAGUGACCUAGCCAGGUGCUCAAACACAGGGGGCUCGGCUGGGACUCCGGAAGGAGGGGAACGGCCUGGAGAAGGAAGGCUGGCGUGGAUCAGGUGACUCCCGAUGCCUGGCCUUGCUUGGUGCUCUGCGCUCCAGUCUCGUGUAACCCUCACACCUGUUUACAGAUGAGGAACUCGAGGCUCAGAGAGGCUGGGAGACCCACUCAGGGUCACACAGCCGAGCUGCAGCUCAGCUGUUUGGGGUGGUGUGCGAGGACCUUCUCGGCCAGGCAGGGCUGCCCAACUUUUUGGCGAGAGCCCUGAUCUUUACAGGAUUUCCUGGGAGCCAGAGACAGGAGAGGGGCUUGGUCCCUCCUUGGUUCCUACAACACUGGGGUGUCACAGGAAGGCAAUUCCAGAGGCCGCUGCCCUCGGUCCCCGGGAAGCAUAUCAGGCUCCUCAGAGCACCUCGCAGGCUGGGGAGCCCUGUGUGAGAGGCAGCCCCACGAACGGGAGGCACGGCUUUAGGCCAGACCCUCCCAGACCGGAUCCGGGCUCUGCCCUUACGGACGGAGGGACCUCAGGCCACGUGCUGAUGCUGCAAACCUCAGUGUCCUCACCUGCAAGAUGGGGGCAAUGACACCUCCCUCAGAGGCUAUUGGAAAGGGAAGAGGAAUGGAUGUGAGUCAUGUGGUCCUUGUAGGAACGGAAUCCUGGGGAGCUGGCGUGGCCAGUACGGCCGGGGUAGUGCUGGAAAGAACCCCUGAGGCUUCAAGAUCCUGGGACACGGCUCUGACAGGCCCACAUCAGCAGGUGUCACCCCCGACAUGGCAUCUGGACACAGCACUGAUGCCCACGCUCAGCGGCUGCCAGAGCCAUGUCUGUCCUGGUGGACGGCUGGAGGGGAAAUUCUGCACACAAGGGCCUGACUCUGCUCACACCUCUGAAGGACUAGGGUGACCAGUUCACACGGUUCUCCAGAUAAGCUGAAUGUGAUCAGCCUGCAUCCCAGCACCUGCAGAACUGGCUGCCAGGCAUCUCCUGAGCCCCGUCCCGCAGCCCUGCUAUGGGUGGGGCGCAGCAGAAGGCCACCUGGACGGCACGUAAGUGGCAGAGCCCACCUCGCACAUCUGCUCUGAGUGUGCUCGGGAACCCUCAUACAGCCCUGGGAUGUCAGCAUCCCAUGUCGCAGAUGAGGAGAUGAAGACACAGAGAGGGUAAGCAACCUGCCAAGGUAACACAGCUGGUACAGGCAGAGCUGAGAUGCAUGUCCCUGCACUGGGGCUCCUGAAGGGGCACUGCUCGCUGUAUACACAGACUGAGAGAAAGAAGCCGAAGGAGGGGAGGAGAAAGGAGACACACCAGCGUGAGGGGGAGGGAAGCGUCCCGUCUCAGCCGCCCCCGCCCCCGCCCCGACUCCCGGAGCUGGCCGCGGGGCGGCCGUCCUGCCCCGUCUGCUCGGGUCAGUUUGACGACCAAGUGGAAACGUUUGUAUGACCGCUCUGUGAGCCGUAAAGUUCUAAACAUAAGAGGAUCACAACGAUCUGUUUCUGUGGUUGCCGCUGUGAGAGAAGCAGCCCCGCUCGGGGCCAUCCUCGCCAGGGCGAAGGGUGGGGGCCGAGGGCCGGGCAGCUUCCGCACGCAUCCUCUCCAGCCUGCAGUGCGCUUUGGGGAAAUUCAUUCCUGCGUUCGCCACCAAGGGACCUGCUGGGUUUACCUUCAGAAACUGACUCACUGGCUCGCAGCCACUGAGUGCCUGGGAUUCUGAGCCUGCUUGGAGCGGAGAGCUGACUUUCACAUGGGACCUCCUCCAGGUCAGGCGCGCUCCUCAGUGACCCUGAUGUGCACGCACAGCCAUGGAUUCCUCACAGGAAGGUGGGGACUAUUAUUAUCCUUGUGACAGAUAGGACAGCUGAGGCCCAGAGAGGUCAGGUAACUUUCCCAAGGCCACACAGCCGAUGGCACUUGAGAGACACUGGUGUACACCUUGGGACUGGCCAGGAAUUCUCCUCUGUCCAGGAAUGAGUCUUUCUGAACAGCCCAAGAGAAUGAGUAAAACUGAGAUUCAGGAGGCAGGCUGCUCUGGACGUUGCUCCCACUGCUUCACCCCGACCCUUACCUCCCCCUGCCCCCACUGUCAGUUACACCGAAAUGGGCAGGAAGAGGCUGCUAGCUUAGGAGCCAAGACGUCAGGACACUUGGCCCAAAGCCACCAAUCAGCGCUAAUGUGGCUCAGAGAAUAAAACG
This is a non-coding RNA of Vicugna pacos (alpaca), 6819 nucleotides long. The record is from RefSeq and is a predicted model, not a curated record. Lineage: Eukaryota; Metazoa; Chordata; Mammalia; Artiodactyla; Camelidae.